CUUCAGUAUAUCCAAACCAUGUGUAUGUCCAGGCGUUGCAAUAUACAGUAAUCCAUUAUCAGUCAUGAUAUUAAAAUCUCAUUCUCAUUAAUUAAAUCAAAGAUUUUAAAUCAACCUCAGAAGUAACAACAUUGUUUUUACCUUCUGUAAAAUGAUUGGAGUUACUGUAUAAUUGCAUACACCCAAUAUAACAUACAUUGCAUGUUCCUCACUGCUACAUUAGUGUAUUUCAUUCUGCCAUAUUUGCAAACUUGAUGUACAUUUUUAUUUUAAUUAAUUAACCUAAUACUUUCUUAAAAUACAUAUAAAACAAUGAAAAAACAGUUCAGACUAACAUUUCAUUAAAACAAACUAACAUAGAACUCUAUUCUUGGCUGUUCUUAAUUCUGGAAUCAGCCUGUGUACCUCUGUUGGCAGACAUAUCCAUGCUCAUUCCCUAAACUGAUCAUAUCUCUUGAAGUUAUCUGAUUCUUAUAACUUUCUGUGUUACGCUGCAUUGCUUGUCUGUCCCCUAAUUUCGAUUUAGCUAAAAUUGCUUUUAUUUGUCUGAUUAUAAGUUUACAAGGAAAGGCUUUAAUUGAUUUAUCUCCACAUGUAUUUUCUCUGUCAAAAUUUUCAAUCAACAAAUUUAAUUUCUCAUUUGCUUUUGAUUUGAUAUCUCGGAUAAAAUAUCUGCAAGAUCUUGAAUAAUGUUGUUUAUUGCACCAAAAACAAAUAACUUUAGGAGUUAUAUUCUGCCCUAUAUUAUCAACUGCCCUAUAUUUAGUUGAAUAAAUUGGGAGGGGCUCAGCUGUCUGUAUCACUCUACACUCUGUCCUAGAAGAAGAAGAAGAAGAAGAAGGAGGGGGACGGGGGCUGUAACAUCUGCACUUCUUUCUCUGCCUAAAGCCACAAGUCGUUUUAACCCCUUCAUUCUUGGUUUCCCUCCUUAAGUUAUCCAAGAACAAAGCUACUUCUGUCAAAGUGCUUUUUUCUCUAGCUACCACAAUUGCAGUUGAAUCUAGAUCUUGAAUUUUUUUCACAAAUUCAUUAAUUAACUGAUCUUCAGAAAAAUCAGCAACAAGUCUAUAUGCAUUUUCAAAUUUUACAAGAAAACUAAAUAUAUCCUCCCCCUUGUGUGGUUUUAGUUUUUCCAACAUUUCAGUGUCUGCAAAAUCAUUCCCUGUUGUUAAUGUUAUUAAUUGUGUUAAUCUGUCUCGCUUAUUUCCAUAUAUUAUUUCACCAUUGUCCUCAAAUUUUACAAUCGCGGUCAGCCUACAUGCCAUUUGAGUCGGCAGCCAUAUUUGAAAUAGUCUAUUCCUUUGUACGUCAUUUAGGCUGUAUUUGUCUAAAUUAGACUCAAACAUUUCAGCAUUAGUGAAUGCAUCCACUGACGUGUCAUAAACUGGAAUACAUUUCACAAUUUUCAUUAAUUGUUCAUGGAUCUUCAAAUUAAGUUUUGCAGCUCUGUCUUGAAAUUUAUAUUUCUGCAAAUCACUCUGUGAGGAUACAUUUUCAGUAUCUAUUGGUUCUGGGAUUAGAUUCUGUGCCUUUAUUUUUCUUGUAUUAACACACACUCGUGCUUAACUUCAUUUCUAAGCUGGCAAAUAAGAUCAUUUCUUAGUUCAACUCUAUCCUCUAAUUCACAGACUGUUUCUGACAAUGUUCUCUCUGUUACAUUGUUACACUGUUCAUUUAAAUCUGAUUUGUCUUCUGUUAACCCAUUCAAAUCUAUUUCUUUUUCUGCUGAUUCUAAAUUUUCUUUACCUGUAUUUCGUUUACAAAUCAAUGCAUUGUAAGUACAGACUAGUUUCAUAACAUUUCUGAUCUUUUUUUUUUUUUUUUUCUUAUUAACAAACAAUUUCUUGUCAAUUUCACUAUUGGCAAUUUCACAUUGUGUGUAUAAAGAUUGCCACAAAACAGCAUCUGAAUAGCUGCUAUUAAAUGCAAACUGCAAUUUACUUUUCUCUGCGAUAUCAUUUAUAAAUUCCACAAUUCAUUUGUUCCAACAAAAUCUAACUUUCCUUAUUCCAACAUGCCAAUAACCUCUUACUUAACAACAUAUACAAGAUUACACAAAGUUCCUAACUAGGUUAUUCGUCCAGCAAAUAUACCUUGUUUCCCUCACAUUCCUCACUGAGUUUACAAGCAUUUCACUCAUUCACCCCCCCUGUAGCCAAUACUCAUAGCAGUCAGAGCAAGAGAAAGCAACAAAGAAGGAGGGGGGAGGAGGGAGGAAGACUUGCAAGCACAAAGUUUUUUAACCAUGUGAUUGCCUAAGCACAGCUCUCCUUAGGACAAAAGAUAGAAUAGGAGAGUAACGAUACAGAUUGUAUAGAUUACAAUUAACAUAUAUGGUACCCAACAAGACAUACACAGACAAAAGCACAAAAUACAGAUGUAAUUAAAUCACAAAGUUCUUAAAAUAAAUGCCGGCUUAUAAUAAAUCAAAUCACACACACAGAAGCACUCAAGCACAUAAACCGCUCCUUUACCAAAGCUUAGCUAUUUAAACUCUUGACCGAGUCUUAAUAAAACAAAGGAACCGCCAGGUUUUUUACCAAACGAGGCCAAAACAUCACUCACUAGCUUCUUUACCAAAGCUUAGCUAAAAUA
This 2595-nucleotide long non-coding RNA is filed under the name Pelobates cultripes (western spadefoot toad). Lineage: Eukaryota; Metazoa; Chordata; Amphibia; Anura; Pelobatidae. The record is from RNAcentral.